GGGGCUGUGGUGUAGCUUGGCUAGCAUUUCAGGUUUGGGGCCUGAGGACCCCGGUUCAAAUCCGGGCAGCCCCA
This 74-nucleotide transfer RNA is filed under the name Candidatus Nanoarchaeia archaeon. RNAcentral's name for it is "tRNA-Pro". It matches the Rfam family "tRNA". From Rfam's summary of the family: Transfer RNA (tRNA) molecules are approximately 80 nucleotides in length. Their secondary structure includes four short double-helical elements and three loops (D, anti-codon, and T loops). Lineage: Archaea; Nanobdellati; Nanobdellota; Candidatus Nanoarchaeia. The record is from RNAcentral.